AACGCACAUUGCGCCCGCCAGUAUUCUGGCGGGCAUGCCUGUCCGAGCGUCAUUUCAACCCUCGAACCCCUCCGGGGGGUCGGCGUUGGGGAUCGGGGACCCCUCAGACGGGAUCCCGGCCCCGAAAUACAGUGGCGGUCUCGCCGCAGCCUCUCCUGCGCAGUAGUUUGCACAACUCGCACCGGGAGCGCGGCGCGUCCACGUCCGUAAAACACCCAACUUUCUGAAAUGUUGACCUCGGAUCAGGUAGGAAUACCCGCUGAACUUAA
This 269-nucleotide unclassified non-coding RNA is filed under the name uncultured Hypocreales. RNAcentral's name for it is "sequence contains 5.8S rRNA gene, ITS2, 28S rRNA gene". The stretch from base 1 to 52 matches the Rfam family "5.8S ribosomal RNA", at positions 103 to 154 of the family's 154-position model. The record is from RNAcentral. Lineage: Eukaryota; Fungi; Ascomycota; Sordariomycetes; Hypocreales.